UUCGGCCCCAGAGACCAUCCUUUAAUAUACAUGCAGCUGCAUGGGCACAUCUUGGGCUGCGCUGGAGGUUUGGGAGCGCGGGGAGCAGGGCUGUCCCCUCUCUGCAGAGCUGGGAGGGGAUGGUGGAUGGUGGCCUCUCCAAGAGCACAUCUUGUGUGGGUGAGACUGAAAGUGGGGAGAGAGGCAGAGCUGAAAGGAAGAAGCUCAGAUCUCCUUCCCAGGUGGUUGUCCACGUGGUUCAUCUCAGUGGGGAGUUCAGGGCAAUGGUGCAAAGAGGGCAGAGGGGCAGCAAGGCAGGGGGUCAGGGGGCAGCCAGAAGGGUUGGGGAUGUUCUUCUGUCCUGGUGCUCCUCUCACUGUCCCGUGGGGGACUUGGCGGCGUCGAACAUCUUCUUCCGCCCCUCCAUCCCCGACAUGGCCUCCACGUUCUUGCGCCAAUCACCCACCUCCACCGGGCGCUCCUUCUCCGUGUCCUCCUUCUUGACAGACUUCAGGUUGGCUCUCAGGUCCAUGGACACCUUGUGCUUGGAGCCCAGCAGAGCCCUCAGCAUGGCGUCGGCGGAGACGCGGACCCUCCGCAGCGGGGGCCUCUUGAACUUCCCUCUCAGGUCGAGCACUUUGAGCUUCAGGUCUUUAAUCUCCCUGGUGUUAUGGUUGCACUUUGCUUCGAUGUCAUAUCUCUCUUCGUCCACAAUCUCAACCUUCUCAUGCAGCUCCCGGCACAGAUCCUGGAGUUGGCUCAAGGAGAGCCCGCUGGUGUGCAGGGGGGUGAUGCGCUCAGACAGGUAUCUCUCCUUCUCCGACUGUUUGUCCACGAUCUCCUGCUCCCACUCCUCCUUGGCCUUUGCCAGCAUCAAGCUCUUCAACAGGAGCUUGCGCGAGGCUGUGAUCUUGGAUUUUCUCUCCCUGGGCUCCGGCAUUGCGGCACUGGGCUGAUCUCCUGGGAGCUGCUGCCUGGUGUGUGCAGAGCCGAGCACUGCGGGGCCCGGCGGCGGAGGGGGAGU
This 1003-nucleotide long non-coding RNA is filed under the name Gallus gallus (chicken). The record is from RNAcentral. Lineage: Eukaryota; Metazoa; Chordata; Aves; Galliformes; Phasianidae.